AGAUGUGAGGGCAACCUGGCUGCAGUAACUGUCACCCCAUUGAUCUCCAGGGUUGAUUUAGCUAAUCUGCUGGCUAGGCCAGUGUCACCUUCCUCUCUCACCAGUACAUGUGUGUCCCUCCUGAAGCUGUGUGCUCGGCAGAAGGGGAUGACCACACCCCCGCGCGUCCCACAGAGGAGGACCAUUCGCCAAGGAACCUGCGCUCCUCUGCUAGGGCCUCCAAACGAAGCUCUCAAGAUUUUAAAAUGCCAUCUGCUCUCAACCUGGAGCGGGUAAGACAGGGAGGUAACGGAGUCAUCGGCGAGGCUGGUGUGCCAGAUGGUGACAUCUGUUCUG
This 336-nucleotide small nuclear RNA is filed under the name Octodon degus (degu). RNAcentral's name for it is "7SK RNA (ENSODEG00000023038.1)". It matches the Rfam family "7SK RNA". From Rfam's summary of the family: 7SK was discovered as an abundant small nuclear RNA in the mid-70s but a possible function has only recently been suggested. Two independent studies have found that 7SK RNA binds the CDK9/cyclin T complex (known as elongation factor P-TEFb). The record is from Rfam by way of RNAcentral. Lineage: Eukaryota; Metazoa; Chordata; Mammalia; Rodentia; Octodontidae.